AAAAUUAGAGUGUUCAAAGCAGGCAGAUUCAAUUUUCUGCCACCGAAUACAUUAGCAUGGGAUAAUGGAAUAGGACCCUGUCCUCCUAUUUUCAGUUGGUUUUGGCAGCGCGAGGACUAGGGUAAUGAUUAAUAGGGAUAGUUGGGGGCAUUAAUAUUUAAUUGUCAGAGGUGAAAUUCUUGGAUUUAUGAAAGAUUAACUUCUGUGAAAGCAUCUGCCAAGGAUGUUUUCAUUAAUCAAGAACGAAAGUUAGGGGAUCGAAGACGAUCAGAUACCGUCGUAGUCUUAACCAUAAACGAUGCCGACCAGCGAUUAGGAGACGUUGAAUACAAAACACCACCAUCGGCGCGGUCGUCCUUGGCGCGUUCGUGUUCACGCACGGGCGCGCGAGGGCGGCUUAGCCCGGUGGCACCGGUGAA
RNAcentral lists this ribosomal RNA (419 nucleotides) under Acanthamoeba sp. RNAcentral's name for it is "SSU rRNA". It matches the Rfam family "Eukaryotic small subunit ribosomal RNA", at positions 762 to 1096 of the family's 1831-position model. Lineage: Eukaryota; Discosea; Longamoebia; Acanthamoebidae. The record is from RNAcentral.